Molecule: ribosomal RNA, 440 nt
Filed under: uncultured bacterium
Lineage: Bacteria
Description: bacterial SSU rRNA
Rfam family: Bacterial small subunit ribosomal RNA
Source: RNAcentral
CCUACGGGUUGCAGCAGUGGGGAAUAUUGGACAAUGGGCGAAAGCCUGAUCCAGCAAUGCCGCGUGUGUGAAGAAGGUCUUCGGAAUGUAAAGCACUUUCGACGGGGACGAUGAUGACGGUACCCGUAGGAGAAGCCCCGGCUAACUUCGUGCCAGCAGCCGCGGUAACACGAAGGGGGCUAGCGUUGCUCGGAAUGACUGGGCGUAAAGGGCGCGUAGGCGGUUUAUGCAGUCAGAUGUGUAAUUCCCGGGCUUAACCUGGGAACUGCAUUUGAGACGCAUAGACUAGAGGUCGAGAGAGGGUUGCGGAAUUCCCAGUGUAGAGGUGAAAUUCGUAGAUAUUGGGAACAACACCGGUGGCGAAGGCGGCAACCUGGCUCGAUACUGACGCUGAGGCGCGAAAGCGUGGGGAGCAAACAGGAUUAGAUACCCCUGUAGUC